This 1475-nucleotide ribosomal RNA is filed under the name Candidatus Pelagibacter sp. Its description in RNAcentral is "bacterial SSU rRNA". It matches the Rfam family "Bacterial small subunit ribosomal RNA". The record is from RNAcentral. Lineage: Bacteria; Pseudomonadati; Pseudomonadota; Alphaproteobacteria; Candidatus Pelagibacterales; Candidatus Pelagibacteraceae.
AAACUUGAGAGUUUGAUCAUGGCUCAGAACGUACGCUGGCGGCACGCCUAACACAUGCAAGUCGAACGAAGUAGCAAUACUUAGUGGCAGACGGGUGAGUAACAUGUGGGUAUCUGCCCUUUGGCCUGGAAUAACACGAGGAAACUUGUGCUAAUACCGGAUAAGUCUUUACGGAGAAAGCUUUAUGCACCAUUGGAUGAGCCUGCACUUGAUUAGUUUGUUGGUGGGGUAAUGGCCUACCAAGACUGUGAUCAAUAGCUGAUUUGAGAGGAUGAUCAGCCACAUUGGGACUGAGACACGGCCCAAACUCCUACGGGAGGCAGCAGUGGGGAAUCUUGCACAAUGGAGGAAACUCUGAUGCAGCGAUGCCGCGUGAGUGAAGAAGGCCCUUGGGUUGUAAAGCUCUUUCGUCGGGGAAGAAAAUGACUGUACCCGAAUAAGAAGGUCCGGCUAACUUCGUGCCAGCAGCCGCGGUAAUACGAAGGGACCUAGCGUAGUUCGGAAUUACUGGGCUUAAAGAGUUCGUAGGUGGUUGAAAAAGUUAGUGGUGAAAUCCCAGAGCUUAACUCUGGAACUGCCAUUAAAACUUUUCAGCUAGAGUAUGAUAGAGGAAAGCAGAAUUUCUAGUGUAGAGGUGAAAUUCGUAGAUAUUAGAAAGAAUACCAAUUGCGAAGGCAGCUUUCUGGAUCAUUACUGACACUGAGGAACGAAAGCAUGGGUAGCGAAGAGGAUUAGAUACCCUCGUAGUCCAUGCCGUAAACGAUGUGUGUUAGACGUUGGAAAUUUAUUUUCAGUGUCGCAGGGAAACCGAUAAACACACCGCCUGGGGAGUACGACCGCAAGGUUAAAACUCAAAUGAAUUGACGGGGACCCGCACAAGUAGUGGAGCAUGUGGUUUAAUUCGAAGAUACGCGCAGAACCUUACCAACACUUGACAUGUUCGUCGCGACUCUAAGAGAUUAGAGUUUUCGGUUCGGCCGGACGAAACACAGGUGCUGCAUGGCUGUCGUCAGCUCGUGUCGUGAGAUGUUGGGUUAAGUCCCGCAACGAGCGCAACCCUCACUUUUAGUUGCCAUCAUUAAGUUGGGCACUCUGAAAGAACUGCCAGUGAUAAGCUGGAGGAAGGUGGGGAUGACGUCAAGUCCUCAUGGCCCUUACGUGUUGGGCUACACACGUGCUACAAUGGUAUCUACAACAGGAAGCAAGACUGCGAAGUUAAGCAAAUCCCUAAAAGAUACCUCAGUUCGGAUUGCACUCUGCAACUCGAGUGCAUGAAGCUGGAAUUACUAGUAAUCGUGGAUCAGCGUGCCACGGUGAAUGCGUUCCCGGGUCUUGUACACACCGCCCGUCACACCAUGGGAGUUGGUUCUACCUUAAGGCAAGGUUUCAAACCCUUGACCACGGUAUAGUCAGCGACUGGGGUGAAGUCGUAACAAGGUAGCCGUAGGGGAACCUGCGGCUGGAUUACCUCCUUU